Molecule: ribosomal RNA, 253 nt
Filed under: uncultured bacterium
Lineage: Bacteria
Description: partial 16S ribosomal RNA
Rfam family: Bacterial small subunit ribosomal RNA
Source: RNAcentral
UACAGAGGUCUCAAGCGUUGUCCGGAAUUAUUGGGCGUAAAGGGCUCGUAGGCGGUCUGUCGCGUCGGGGGUGAAAACUCAGGGCUUAACCCUGAGCCUGCUUCCGAUACGGGCAGACUAGAGGUAUGCAGGGGAGAACGGAAUUCCUGGUGUAGCGGUGAAAUGCGCAGAUAUCAGGAGGAACACCGGUGGCGAAGGCGGUUCUCUGGGCAUUACCUGACGCUGAGGAGCGAAAGUGUGGGGAGCGAACAGG